Felis catus (domestic cat) is the source of this 1906-nucleotide long non-coding RNA. RefSeq lists it as uncharacterized. NCBI's taxonomy places the organism in Eukaryota, Metazoa, Chordata, Mammalia, Carnivora, Felidae. The record is from RefSeq and is a predicted model, not a curated record. The transcript has 3 exons.
CACAAGUUCUCCUUUGCCUGAGCUGAUGGUUCUAUGGUCCUGUCUGAAAUAAGGGAAUCAGCAGAUCAUUUCUCAUGGCUUCCUCCUCUCAACCUAGGAACUGGCAUUCCUUCGAUUUAGAAAUGUUUCUGCAAACCAAGAAUUCAGGAAUGGCUCAGCUGACCAGCCUGGCCCAGGGUCUCUCCUGAGGUUGAAGUCAGAUGUCCACUGGGGCUGGUGGAUUCACUUCCAAGACGGCACCAAGACACACGACUGGCAAGCUGGUACUGGUUUUUAGCUAAGAACCUCAGUUCCUGUACACCCAUGCCUCUCCACAGGCUGUUUGAGAGUCCUCAAUGCAUGGCAGCUGGCUUCCUACAGAGUGAGCGAUCCAAAAGAGCAAGAAUUUGUAAGCCCUGUGGCAUCAGAGACAGCAGCCGUCUUGUUUACUACAAUUCCAGGACCUAGCAAAGUACCUGGCCCUUCAUUAUUGAACAAACAGCUUCUGAUAUCCUGGAUACCAAUCAUCAGAGUCUGCCUUUUUAGUCAGUCCUGAUCCUUAUAAAAUGGAUAGACUGGGAUUAACCAUUCACCCAACAAUGACUCUCAAUCCAAAUCAAACCAAGAUCCCAAAGGCCUUGGUCAAAUGCAUUAUCAAAGCCAAAUGAAUGUGUUCCUCCCUAUUAUCUUAAGCUGUGUAUUUUUCAGGAUGAAAGACUGUUCUGGCUGUAUUCAACCUUCCUGAACCUAAAGUAGGCACUCAUGCAAUGCCCACAAAGAAAUCAUGACAGAACUUGAGUCUGGAUAGCCCACCUCCAACUAUCACCACUUUAUAGACUUUUGGUACAUUUCAGUAGUCUUUGAGCACAUGGCGUCUUAUCAAAAAAAGCUACAGAAAAAAACAGUCUGCACCAACCACCAUCCCCUCACCCUCCAAACCCCAAUACUCAUAAGAAAGAAGUCAAGCCAAACUUGACCAUGCAACAGGAUUCUCACCUCUCCUUACUUCGAAGAUGCCAAGACUGCCAGCUGGGGAUGCUGAAGGUUCUGUGAGAGCUGGAAAGCCCCAAUGCUGUGGAUAAAUACACAUCUCUGCAACAAGUCUAUUUCAGUAUAAAGGAUCAAAUCCCCAGGGGCUGCUGCUGUUUGAAACAAUUUAAGGGUCCAAAUCUCAAGCCCCUAAACUCAAAACUACUUUGGGAUAAGUUAUCUAUAUGGAAGAACAAUGCCUGAACAGAGCUUCUGGAAGCUAUAUAUAUAGUACCAUAUAUUUUCGGAAUGAUGAAUUUCACGUUCUCUGGUAGCAUACUUCUCUUCAUAAGGAGGUUAUCUCCUAGAAACACUAAACAUUUAUAAUAUCUGAGCUUGGACUGAGAAAGAUGGCCAUGAAGUGGUGUCUCUCAGGAUAACACCAGAAUCCUAGUCUACUCGAGGAUGGGUAACUGGUAAGGCUGACAACAUUCAGAACUCAGGAACUGAGGCCAGGAUUGGAGGAGGGGCUGUUUGCCACAAACCCACAGGUCUUACUGCAAAUGGCCAAAUAGACCAUUAAAUACUUACAGGAUACCUCCAGGUCUACCUCAAGUCCCAAGAAAUUCAAAGUGUAACCAAACCCUAAGUCAAAUCAUUAACGGACACCUAUCAUACUCAUCACCUAAUUUAGAUCUUUCAGAAGAUUAGAAGCUGCAGAGGUGCUCCUGUAAGUGGGCAAUGCCCUUUGCACAAAGAAACACUUAGGUUUGGAACCAAUCUAUUCCUGUCUACCACUCUACACAUUUAAGACUUUAGCCUACUCAAAUCCCUUAGGAAAGACCACUCACCAACCUAACCGACCACAAAGAAUACACUUUUCAAAAUGAAAGAGAAUAAAGGCACUUUUAUUUGGAAAUUUCAAGUUGGAAGGAGAGCUCUCAGCCAAGCUCUAGGA